This 2365-nucleotide ribosomal RNA is filed under the name Salmonella enterica. RNAcentral describes it as "partial 23S ribosomal RNA". It matches the Rfam family "Bacterial large subunit ribosomal RNA", at positions 582 to 2925 of the family's 2925-position model. Lineage: Bacteria; Pseudomonadati; Pseudomonadota; Gammaproteobacteria; Enterobacterales; Enterobacteriaceae. RNAcentral also lists the same sequence under 2 other names. The record is from RNAcentral.
CCCUUUGGGGUGUGACUGCGUACCUUUUGUAUAAUGGGUCAGCGACUUAUAUUCUGUAGCAAGGUUAACCGAAUAGGGGAGCCGGAGGGAAACCGAGUCUUAAUUGGGCGUUAAGUUGCAGGGUAUAGACCCGAAACCCGGUGAUCUAGCCAUGGGCAGGUUGAAGGUUGGGUAACACUAACUGGAGGACCGAACCGACUAAUGUUGAAAAAUUAGCGGAUGACCUGUGGCUGGGGGUGAAAGGCCAAUCAAACCGGGAGAUAGCUGGUUCUCCCCGAAAGCUAUUUAGGUAGCGCCUCGUGAAUUCAUCUCCGGGGGUAGAGCACUGUUUCGGCUAGGGGGCCAUCCCGGCUUACCAACCCGAUGCAAACUGCGAAUACCGGAGAAUGUUAUCACGGGAGACACACGGCGGGUGCUAACGUCCGUCGUGAAGAGGGAAACAACCCAGACCGCCAGCUAAGGUCCCAAAGUCAUGGUUAAGUGGGAAACGAUGUGGGAAGGCCCAGACAGCCAGGAUGUUGGCUUAGAAGCAGCCAUCAUUUAAAGAAAGCGUAAUAGCUCACUGGUCGAGUCGGCCUGCGCGGAAGAUGUAACGGGGCUAAACCAUGCACCGAAGCUGCGGCAGCGACGCUGAUGCGUUGUUGGGUAGGGGAGCGUUCUGUAAGCCUGCGAAGGUGGCCUGUGAGGGUUGCUGGAGGUAUCAGAAGUGCGAAUGCUGACAUAAGUAACGAUAAAGCGGGUGAAAAGCCCGCUCGCCGGAAGACCAAGGGUUCCUGUCCAACGUUAAUCGGGGCAGGGUGAGUCGACCCCUAAGGCGAGGCCGAAAGGCGUAGUCGAUGGGAAACGGGUUAAUAUUCCCGUACUUGGUGUUACUGCGAAGGGGGGACGGAGAAGGCUAUGUUGGCCGGGCGACGGUUGUCCCGGUUUAAGCGUGUAGGUGUGUGUUCCAGGUAAAUCCGGUUCACUUUAACACUGAGGCGUGAUGACGAGGCACUACGGUGCUGAAGCAACAAAUGCCCUGCUUCCAGGAAAAGCCUCUAAGCAUCAGGUAACAUCAAAUCGUACCCCAAACCGACACAGGUGGUCAGGUAGAGAAUACCAAGGCGCUUGAGAGAACUCGGGUGAAGGAACUAGGCAAAAUGGUGCCGUAACUUCGGGAGAAGGCACGCUGACACGUAGGUGAAGUGAUUUACUCAUGGAGCUGAAGUCAGUCGAAGAUACCAGCUGGCUGCAACUGUUUAUUAAAAACACAGCACUGUGCAAACACGAAAGUGGACGUAUACGGUGUGACGCCUGCCCGGUGCCGGAAGGUUAAUUGAUGGGGUCAGCGCAAGCGAAGCUCCUGAUCGAAGCCCCGGUAAACGGCGGCCGUAACUAUAACGGUCCUAAGGUAGCGAAAUUCCUUGUCGGGUAAGUUCCGACCUGCACGAAUGGCGUAAUGAUGGCCAGGCUGUCUCCACCCGAGACUCAGUGAAAUUGAACUCGCUGUGAAGAUGCAGUGUACCCGCGGCAAGACGGAAAGACCCCGUGAACCUUUACUAUAGCUUGACACUGAACAUUGAGCCUUGAUGUGUAGGAUAGGUGGGAGGCUUUGAAGUGUGGACGCCAGUCUGCAUGGAGCCGGCCUUGAAAUACCACCCUUUAAUGUUUGAUGUUCUAACGUGGACCCGUGAUCCGGGUUGCGGACAGUGUCUGGUGGGUAGUUUGACUGGGGCGGUCUCCUCCUAAAGAGUAACGGAGGAGCACGAAGGUUGGCUAAUCCUGGUCGGACAUCAGGAGGUUAGUGCAAUGGCAUAAGCCAGCUUGACUGCGAGCGUGACGGCGCGAGCAGGUGCGAAAGCAGGUCAUAGUGAUCCGGUGGUUCUGAAUGGAAGGGCCAUCGCUCAACGGAUAAAAGGUACUCCGGGGAUAACAGGCUGAUACCGCCCAAGAGUUCAUAUCGACGGCGGUGUUUGGCACCUCGAUGUCGGCUCAUCACAUCCUGGGGCUGAAGUAGGUCCCAAGGGUAUGGCUGUUCGCCAUUUAAAGUGGUACGCGAGCUGGGUUUAGAACGUCGUGAGACAGUUCGGUCCCUAUCUGCCGUGGGCGCUGGAGAACUGAGGGGGGCUGCUCCUAGUACGAGAGGACCGGAGUGGACGCAUCACUGGUGUUCGGGUUGUCAUGCCAAUGGCACUGCCCGGUAGCUAAAUGCGGAAGAGAUAAGUGCUGAAAGCAUCUAAGCACGAAACUUGCCCCGAGAUGAGUUCUCCCUGAGACUUAGAGUCUCCUGAAGGAACGUUGAAGACGACGACGUUGAUAGGCCGGGUGUGUAAGCGCAGCGAUGCGUUGAGCUAACCGGUACUAAUGAACCGUGAGGCUUAACCUU